UCAGUCGGUCGGGUAGCCGCGCUUGUCAUAUGCCGAAAGGCGGCAGGUGAGGAAAGUCCGGGCUCCACGGAAAUACGGUGCCGGGUAAUGCCCGGCGGGGGCGACCCCAGGGAUAGUGCCACAGAAAGCAGACCGCCCCGUCUUCCGUUUCGUUGCCAAAGCGCGAUCCCCGUAAGCGGAUCACGCUUUGGCAACGGCAGGGAUGACGGGGUAAGGGUGAAAGGGUGGGGUAAGAGCCCACCGCGCCGGUGGCAACACAGGCGGCACGGUAAACCCCACCGGGAGCAAGACCGAAUAGGGACGGCGCGCCGACUCGCAGGAGCCGGCAAUCGAUUUCCGGAUCAGCCGUCCGGGUGGGUUGCAAGAGGCGGGUGGCGACAUCCGUCCCAGAUGAAUGGCUACCACGCCGGGCCAAAGCCCGGCCAUACAGAACCCGGCUUACAGACCGGCUGACAAU
RNAcentral lists this RNase P RNA (457 nucleotides) under Falsochrobactrum tianjinense. Its description in RNAcentral is "RNase P RNA component class A". It matches the Rfam family "Bacterial RNase P class A". From Rfam's summary of the family: Ribonuclease P (RNase P) is a ubiquitous endoribonuclease, found in archaea, bacteria and eukarya as well as chloroplasts and mitochondria. Its best characterised activity is the generation of mature 5'-ends of tRNAs by cleaving the 5'-leader elements of precursor-tRNAs. Lineage: Bacteria; Pseudomonadati; Pseudomonadota; Alphaproteobacteria; Hyphomicrobiales; Brucellaceae. The record is from RNAcentral.